UAACCAACUUAAUUAUGUCAACAACAACCAAAAAUCAAAACUUUCAACAACGGAUCUCUUGGUUCUCGCAUCGAUGAAGAACGCAGCGAAAUGCGAUAAGUAAUAUGAAUUGCAGAUUUUCGUGAAUCAUCGAAUCUUUGAACGCACAUUGCACCUUGUGGUAUUCCACAAGGUAUGCCUGUUUGAGCGUCAUUUCUCCCUCAACCCCCGCGGGUUGGCGUUGAAUGGCACGAGCUCUUAGUCAGUCCAUUCGAAAAGUAUUUUUCUUGAGUUGUUAUUUUCUAAUUUAGUAGUGACAACUACACUAAAAACACAUUUUCCUCAAAUCAGGUAGGACUACCCGCUGAACUU
Molecule: ribosomal RNA, 351 nt
Filed under: Hyphopichia burtonii
Lineage: Eukaryota; Fungi; Ascomycota; Pichiomycetes; Serinales; Debaryomycetaceae
Description: eukaryotic LSU rRNA
Rfam family: 5.8S ribosomal RNA (bases 39-192)
Source: RNAcentral